ACUAAGCAGAGCGAGUGUCGGGCUUGUAAGACACUGAAGACACUGCAGAGCAAGGUGCUUAUUCCAGAGGCGUUACAAAACAUGGAGAUUAAAGACCAGGGAGCCCAAAUGGAGCCGCUGCUGCCUACGGAUAAUCUUGAGACCUUUGGAAUGAUAAAACUGAUUGUAAACUUGCCCAGUAAUGAUUGGUCAUCUUCCUUACAAAGGUUGCCUUCGUUUAUACUAUUUUACAUGCAUUUCAUUAUACAUCAUAAAGGUUUUAAAGAGAAAUGAUGAAGAAGCAGUUGUGGAUAGAGGUGGAACUCGUUCUAUUCUCAAAACACACUUUGAGAAAGAAGAUUUAGAAGGUCAUCGAACACUGUUUAUUGGAGUACAUGUGCCCUUGGGAGGAAGAAAAAGCCAUCGACGUCACAGGCAUCGUGGUCAUAAACACAGAAAGAGAGACAGAGAAAGAGAUUCAGGAUUAGAGGAUGGAAGGGAGUCACCUUCUUUUGACACCCCAUCACAGAGGGUACAGUUUAUUCUUGGAACCGAGGAUGAUGAUGAGGAACACAUUCCUCAUGACCUUUUCACAGAACUGGA
This 582-nucleotide small RNA is filed under the name Pongo abelii (Sumatran orangutan). RNAcentral's name for it is "processed transcript". Lineage: Eukaryota; Metazoa; Chordata; Mammalia; Primates; Hominidae. The record is from RNAcentral.